UCCAGAACCACCACCCCUGGGUGCCUGGGAUUUCGGUAGCAGGCUGCCGGAGCGCUCUGCACUUGGCUGCUAACCUGCGUGCAACCCCACUUCAAAGCUGUCCCAUUUCUCAUAGAAGUUGUCCCAAAAAUGUGUGCACCCACAUCCUUUGCUACCCAAAAGCAGGAGCAGGGAGAUGUGUCCUACCCCAUUUUUGACACUGUCUCCCAUAACAUCCACACAGGUAAACUUAGGAAGUGUGGAAUAGACAAGUGGAGCAUCUCCUGUAUGAGAAAAGGCUGAGAGACCUGGGCUGUUCAGCAUGGAGAAGGGAAGACAGAGGAGAUCUUAUCAAUGCCUGUCACACCUAGAGACAAGCGAGCAAACCCCAAAAGCUGUAUUUACACACACAGACGCACUUCCAUCCACCUGGCCAUAAGGAACAAGUCCAUCUACGCAGCAUGGAACCAGUUGCACAGGACAAUACGUGCCUCUGUGCACAGCUGCUAAGCAGAACAGUUUAUGAAAGCUCGUGCACCCCAUCCUCAACCAUCUGGCUUGGGCUUACCAGCGUCCAGCCCAAGCCGUGCUUACGCACAACCCUUCCC
Long non-coding RNA from Gallus gallus (chicken), 587 nucleotides. The record is from Ensembl. Lineage: Eukaryota; Metazoa; Chordata; Aves; Galliformes; Phasianidae.